AGUGUCUUUUUGAUACAGAACUCUUGCUUUGGUUUGGCCUAGAGAUAGGUUGGGCCAGAGGUUUAACAAAACACAAUUUAAUUAUUUUUACAGUUAGUCAAAUUUUGAAUUAAUCUUCAAAACUUUCAACAACGGAUCUCUUGGUUCUCGCAUCGAUGAAGAACGCAGCGAAAUGCGAUAAGUAAUAUGAAUUGCAGAUUUUCGUGAAUCAUCGAAUCUUUGAACGCACAUUGCGCCCUCUGGUAUUCCAGAGGGCAUGCCUGUUUGAGCGUCAUUUCUCUCUCAAACCCCCGGGUUUGGUAUUGAGUGAUACUCUUAGUCGGACUAGGCGUUUGCUUGAAAAGUAUUGGCAUGGGUAGUACUGGAUAGUGCUGUCGACCUCUCAAUGUAUUAGGUUUAUCCAACUCGUUGAAUGGUGUGGCGGGAUAUUUCUGGUAUUGUUGGCCCGGCCUUACAACAACCAAACAAGUUUGACCUCAAAUCAGGUAGGAAUACCCGCU
This 500-nucleotide ribosomal RNA is filed under the name Meyerozyma guilliermondii. Its description in RNAcentral is "eukaryotic LSU rRNA". The stretch from base 121 to 274 matches the Rfam family "5.8S ribosomal RNA". Lineage: Eukaryota; Fungi; Ascomycota; Pichiomycetes; Serinales; Debaryomycetaceae. The record is from RNAcentral.